Non-coding RNA from Triticum aestivum (bread wheat), 125 nucleotides. NCBI's taxonomy places the organism in Eukaryota, Viridiplantae, Streptophyta, Magnoliopsida, Poales, Poaceae. The record is from Rfam.
CUGCUACUCCCUCCGUCCGGAAAUACUUGUCGUCGAAUUGAAUGAACCUAGAUGUAUUUUAAUUCUAGAUACAUCCAUUUCCAUUCAUUUAUGCGAAAAGUAAUUCCGGACGGAGGGAGUACUAU